ACAGUGUGGUGGUCUUUCGGGGA
Molecule: non-coding RNA, 23 nt
Filed under: Arabidopsis thaliana (thale cress)
Lineage: Eukaryota; Viridiplantae; Streptophyta; Magnoliopsida; Brassicales; Brassicaceae
Source: RNAcentral